This 305-nucleotide ribosomal RNA is filed under the name uncultured bacterium. RNAcentral's name for it is "bacterial SSU rRNA". It matches the Rfam family "Bacterial small subunit ribosomal RNA", at positions 338 to 640 of the family's 1533-position model. The record is from RNAcentral.
CCUACGGGAGGCAGCAGUGAGGAAUAUUGGUCAAUGGGCGGAAGCCUGAACCAGCCAAGUCGCGUGAGGGAAUAAGGCCCUACGGGUCGUAAACCUCUUUUGCCGGGGAGCAAGGGCGGGGACGUGUCCCGGCCCGGAGAGUACCCGGAGAAAAAGCAUCGGCUAACUCCGUGCCAGCAGCCGCGGUAAUACGGAGGAUGCGAGCGUUAUCCGGAUUUAUUGGGUUUAAAGGGUGCGUAAGCGGGCUUUUAAGUCAGCGGUGAAAGGCUACGGCUCAACCGUAGUAAGCCUUUGAAACUGGGGAA